GCUAUUGCUAUCGGGAUCCGAUUCAGGCAUGCUAGUCGUACGAGUUCAGACUCGUGGCGUAUAGCUCAGUAACACGUGGUCAAACCACCCUCUGGACCGGGAUACCCUCGGGAAACUGAGGUCAAUCCCGGAUACCGCUUUCACGUUGGAAAAACGGAAAGCUGGAAACGGUCCGCCGCCGGAGGACGUGACUGCGGCCGAUUAGGUAGACGGUGGGGUAACGGCCCACCGUGCCAAUAAUCGGUACGGGUUGUGAGAGCAAGAGCCCGGAGACGGAAUCUGAGACAAGAUUCCGGGCCCUACGGGGCGCAGCAGCCGCGAAACCUUUACACUGCACGACAGUGCGAUAAGGGGAUCCCGAGUGCGAGGGCAUACAGUCCUCGCUUUUCGUGACCGUAAGGUGGUCACAGAAUAAGGGCUGGGCAAGACCGGUGCCAGCCGCCGCGGUAAUACCGGCAGCCCGAGUGAUAGCCAAUUUUAUUGGGCCUAAAGCGUCCGUAGCCGGCCGAACAGGUCCGUCGGGAAAUCCACCCGCUUAACGGGUGGGCGUCCGGCGGAAACCAGUCGGCUUGGGGCCGGGAGACCAGAGGGGUACGUCCGGGGUAGGAGUGAAAUCCUGUAAUCCUGGACGGACCACCGGUUGCGAAAGCGCCUCUGGAGAACGGACCCGACGGUGAGGGACGAAAGCUAGGGUCUCGAACCGGAUUAGAUACCCGGGUAGUCCUAGCCGUAAACGAUGCUCGCUAGGUGUGACGCAGGCUACGAGCCUGCGUUGCGCCGUAGGGAAGCCGAGAAGCGAGCCGCCUGGGAAGUACGUCCGCAGGGAUGAAACUUAAAGGAAUUGGCGGGGGGAC
Molecule: ribosomal RNA, 854 nt
Filed under: uncultured marine archaeon
Lineage: Archaea
Description: bacterial SSU rRNA
Rfam family: Archaeal small subunit ribosomal RNA
Source: RNAcentral